GGCAUGGUGUACGCCGAUGGGUAAGGGCAGGCGCUUGCGCUGAUGAUGUUGGUUCGAGUCCAACCCCAUGUCA
RNAcentral lists this transfer RNA (73 nucleotides) under Accumulibacter sp. RNAcentral's name for it is "tRNA-OTHER". The record is from RNAcentral. Lineage: Bacteria; Pseudomonadati; Pseudomonadota; Betaproteobacteria.